UACGUAGGGGGCAAGCGUUGUCCGGAUUUAUUGGGCGUAAAGAGCGUGUAGGCGGCUGGGUAGGUCCGUUGUGAAAACUCGAGGCUCAACCUCGAGACGCCGAUGGAAACCCCCCAGCUAGAGUCCGGAAGAGGAGAGUGGAAUUCCUGGUGUAGCGGUGAAAUGCGUAGAUAUCGGGAGGAACACCAGUGGCGAAGGCGACUACCUGGCCUGUUCUUGACGCUGAGGCGCGAAAGCUAGGGGAGCAAACGGG
This 253-nucleotide ribosomal RNA is filed under the name uncultured bacterium. RNAcentral's name for it is "partial 16S ribosomal RNA". It matches the Rfam family "Bacterial small subunit ribosomal RNA", at positions 524 to 776 of the family's 1533-position model. The record is from RNAcentral.